Molecule: ribosomal RNA, 443 nt
Filed under: uncultured bacterium
Lineage: Bacteria
Description: partial 16S ribosomal RNA
Rfam family: Bacterial small subunit ribosomal RNA
Source: RNAcentral
AACGAACGCUGGCGGCAUGCCUAACACAUGCAAGUCGAACGAGAUCUUCGGGUCUAGUGGCGCACGGGUGCGUAACGCGUGGGAAUCUGCCCUUUGGUUCGGAAUAACAGUUGGAAACGACUGGUAAUACCGGAUGAUGACGAAAGUCCAAAGAUUUAUCGCCAGAGGAUGAGCCCGCGUAGGAUUAGCUAGUUGGUGUGGUAAAGGCGCACCAAGGCGACGAUCCUUAGCUGGUCUGAGAGGAUGAUCAGCCACACUGGGACUGAGACACGGCCCAGACUCCUACGGGAGGCAGCAGUGGGGAAUAUUGGACAAUGGGCGAAAGUCUGAUGUCGCGACGCCGCGUGAAGGAUGAAGGCGUUUUCGUUGUAAACUUCUUUUGCCAAGACAGAGAUGUCUUGGAGAAUAAGCACCUGCUAAUCUCGUGCCAGCAGCCGCCGUAA